AUUGAACGCUGGCGGCAUGCCUUACACAUGCAAGUCGAACGGUAACGGGCCCUCGGGUGCCGACGAGUGGCGAACGGGUGAGUAAUACAUCGGAACGUGCCCGAUCGUGGGGGAUAACGAGGCGAAAGCUUUGCUAAUACCGCAUACGAUCUACGGAUGAAAGCAGGGGACCGCAAGGCCUUGCGCGGACGGAGCGGCCGAUGGCAGAUUAGGUAGUUGGUGGGAUAAAAGCUUACCAAGCCGACGAUCUGUAGCUGGUCUGAGAGGAUGAUCAGCCACACUGGGACUGAGACACGGCCCAGACUCCUACGGGAGGCAGCAGUGGGGAAUUUUGGACAAUGGGCGCAAGCCUGAUCCAGCCAUGCCGCGUGCAGGAUGAAGGCCUUCGGGUUGUAAACUGCUUUUGUACGGAACGAAAAGCCUUCUUUUAAUACAGGAGGGUCAUGACGGUACCGUAAGAAUAAGCACCGGCUAACUACGUG
Molecule: ribosomal RNA, 482 nt
Filed under: uncultured bacterium
Lineage: Bacteria
Description: partial 16S ribosomal RNA
Rfam family: Bacterial small subunit ribosomal RNA
Source: RNAcentral